Cricetulus griseus (Chinese hamster) is the source of this 248-nucleotide unclassified non-coding RNA. Its record names the gene 7SK. It matches the Rfam family "7SK RNA". Rfam says of the family: 7SK was discovered as an abundant small nuclear RNA in the mid-70s but a possible function has only recently been suggested. Two independent studies have found that 7SK RNA binds the CDK9/cyclin T complex (known as elongation factor P-TEFb). NCBI's taxonomy places the organism in Eukaryota, Metazoa, Chordata, Mammalia, Rodentia, Cricetidae. The record is from Ensembl.
GGAUGUGAGGGCAGUAUGCCUGUGGCAUCUGUCACCCCAUUGUUCUCCAGGGUUGAAUGCUUAUCUGGCAAAGGCAGGUGUCACCUUCCUCCAUCACCACCCCAUGGGCACCCCUCCUGUAUCUUUGUGUAAGAGGUUAGCCUUCACCAGUGGAGAACUAAUCUUCUUGACCUUGGCUAGUAUCUCCAAACCCUCCUGAGAAACCACAACAAAGUGUCUGUCUGCAACCUGCAUGCUGACUCUGCCUU